AAGGGUUUCGCACGCCAGUAGAACCUUGUUAGGAUUUGGUUAGAUUUGUAGUUGAAUCUUAGUUGGAUUAGAAUUAAUAUUUAAAUCUAUUGAAGAUAAAUUAAGAUUUAAAUAUUAAUUAGAAUAUAAAUCUAACUAGAUUAUAAUAAAUAUUUAAAUCUAUUAGAGAUAAGCUAAAUAUAGAUUUAAAUAUUUAUCGGAGUAGGAAUCCUAAUUAUAUUAGGAUUUAGGCAGCUUUUGAAGUAAGCUAUAAAUAUAGCAUAGGUGCUAUUGUUUAUGGUGGUGGUGGUGGUAUGGAUUAGCCACACCCAUAUGGCAUGGCCAAAAUGGUCAUGAUUUUGGUUGCACCUAGUGUAUUGGUAUAAGAGGACGUGUGCGGCUCUUGUAGCCGUGGGUCAUUGGUAUACCUUGUGCAUGGAUGCACAGGAAGAGAGAUGUCUUCUAGGAGUAUAAAAGACAAAAGAAGGGUAUGAGAGAUUCAAGAAAGAGGGCUCGGGUUGUGGCUACUCUAUUCAGAAGAGGAGUCAGGUGUAAUUUUCUCUUAUUUAAUGAAUCUUAUUUUACCUGCAUAUUUUUUUCUUUUAUGAUUGUAUCAGCUUUUGCUGAGGAGACGGGUUUAUGGUAAAACCCGAUUCGGCGCUUCCGUUGCGGAAUCUCAAUAAUCGGUACCGCAUCCACAGCCAUCAGUAUCGGAGCGGUUUGCGGAUUCACAAGAUCCGAUACCGGGGCGAGUACCAGAUUCCCAACAUUUUGUAUUAGAGUUGAAGGUUUUCGAUCCUUGUAGAAGAUCGAUGUCAGAGCACUGUGUUACCGAUCGUUCAGAGCGAUCGAUGUUUAAAGCACAAUUGAUCUCGUUAGGCGCAUUGGACUCGAAGGGUUGCGAUAUUUCUGCUUCAAGUGGAGCUAUGAGGGUCCGAAAGCGAGAUUGGGUCAUGUGCGAGGCGAACAAACGUAAGAACUUAUACGUUUUGAAUGGGAGCAUAGUUAGAAUGUUAGCGAAGACGGUUUACGGUUCCAAAAGUUCGCGGAAGUGCAGUCGCUCGAGGCGAAACGACGGAUGCGGCGACAUCGAGUGGAGGAGACAAGGUCAAUGUGGAGCUUGCAUUGUGAGCUCGACGCAACGGUUGAAGGCUACAAAUCCAACCAAGGUGGAGAAUGUUAGGAUUUGGUUAGAUUAGUAGUUGAAUCUUAGUUGGAUUAGAAUUAAUAUUUAAAUCUGUUGGAGAUAAAUUAAGAUUUAAAUAUUAAUUAGAGUAUAAAUCUAACUAGAUUAUGAUAAAUAUUUAAAUCUAUUGGAGAUAAACUAAAUAUAUAUUUAAAUAUUUAUCGGAGCAGGAAUCCUAAUUAUACUAGGAUUUGGGUAGCUUUUGAUGUAAGCUAUAAAUAUAGCAUAUGUGCUAUUAUUUUGGUGGUGGUGGUGGUGGUGGUAUGGAUUAGCCACACCCAUAUGGCAUGGCCAAGAUAGUCAUGAUUUUGGUUGCACCUAGUAAGAGGACAUGUGCGGCUCUUGUAGCCGUGGGUCAUUGGUAUACCUUGUGCAUGGAUGCACAGGAAGAGAGAUGUCUUCUAGGAGUAUAGAAGACGAGAGAAGGGUAGGAGAAAUUCAAGAAAGAGGGCUCGGGUUGUAGCUACUCUAUACAGAAGAGGAGUCAGGUGUAAUCUUCUUUUAUUUAAUGAAUCUUAUUUUACCUGCAUAUUUUUUUCUUUUAUGAUUGUAUCAGCUUUUGCUGAGGAGACGGGUUUAUAGUAAAACCCGAUUCGACGCUUCCGUUGCGGAAUCCCAACAAUCGGUACCUGAUCCACAGCCGUCGGUAUCGGAGCGGGUUGCGGAUUAACAAGAUCCGGUAUCGAGGCGAGUACCGGAUUCCCAACAAACCUUAUCUU
RNAcentral lists this long non-coding RNA (1884 nucleotides) under Ananas comosus (pineapple). Its description in RNAcentral is "long non-coding RNA (ACOM_LNC017489)". The record is from RNAcentral. Lineage: Eukaryota; Viridiplantae; Streptophyta; Magnoliopsida; Poales; Bromeliaceae.